Molecule: ribosomal RNA, 450 nt
Filed under: uncultured bacterium
Lineage: Bacteria
Description: bacterial SSU rRNA
Rfam family: Bacterial small subunit ribosomal RNA
Source: RNAcentral
AGCGAACGCCGGCGGCAGGCUUAACACAUGCAAGUCGAGCGGGCGUAGCAAUACGUCAGCGGCAGACGGGUGAGUAACGCGUGGGAACGUACCUUUUGGUUCGGAACAACACAGGGAAACUUGUGCUAAUACCGGAUAAGCCCUUACGGGGAAAGAUUUAUCGCCGAAAGAUCGGCCCGCGUCUGAUUAGCUAGUUGGUGUGGUAACGGCGCACCAAGGCGACGAUCAGUAGCUGGUCGAGAGGAUGAUCAGCCACAUUGGGACUGAGACACGGCCCAAACUCCUACGGGAGGCAGCAGUGGGGAAUAUUGGACAAUGGGCGCAAGCCUGAUCCAGCAAUGCCGCGUGGAUGAAGAAGGUUUUCGGAUUGUAAAGUCCUUUCGGCGGGGACGAUGAUGACGGUACCCGCAGAAGAAGCCCCGCUAACUUCGUGCCAGCAGCCGCGGUAAG